This 474-nucleotide long non-coding RNA is filed under the name Citrus x clementina. RNAcentral describes it as "Citrus clementina (C. clementina) long non-coding RNA (CCLE_LNC003281)". Lineage: Eukaryota; Viridiplantae; Streptophyta; Magnoliopsida; Sapindales; Rutaceae. The record is from RNAcentral.
UUUGUGUCUUGCUACGGUAUGUUUUUUUUUUUUUUAAUUUAAUAUCUAACAAAAAAAGAAAUGACAAACUUAAUUAAUAAAAUCGUGCCACGGGGGGUUUUAAGGAGAAGGGCAAUAACCGGAUUCACCGAGCCUGCAAGUAAUUAAUUAAUUAAUUAAUUCGUUUGCGUUGAAAGAGCUUAUCAAUCCAAACUCAAACCGUCGUGCAAGUAAUUUGGUAAAAAUUAAUUCGUUUUUGCUCAUGAGAGAACGUAUCUCAUGAACUCUGAAUUUAAAUUUUAUCAUUGGACAAGUAAUCUAAAACCAAUAAGCAAAUCCAAACGUGGGACUUUAAUAGCAAUCCCACAAAUUAAUCUAAUUCCUCCUCAUCUCGUCUCUCAAAACGAAGCCUAGGUGUUUGUAUAAUUUAUUAAAAAUGAAGAGCUACUCCCUACUAGCCAGAUGCAUUUCCUUAUGUACUACUAUUAUUAAAAA